GCCGGAAGAACCCGACUAAAACAAAGACAUUAGAAUCAGAAGCGGGAAUUCACGGAACGGAUCCCGGGUGUCAUCAGAAAUGGAGUCGUGAUUUAUACACAGAGAAGCGCACCCAUGGCUUUUUAAAAAAAGUUGAGUUCCACUUACUUCAAAUACGAGUAGAUCCUGUGUGUUCACGGAAGAGGAUCCCCAGUGGAAUCCUCGGCAGGAUCUGCGUGGCAGCAGUCAUGCUCCAAACGGCCCUCUCCCUCUGGAGCCAAGCCCACGACGUUCUAGAAGGUUUCCUGGA
Molecule: long non-coding RNA, 289 nt
Organism: Neomonachus schauinslandi (Hawaiian monk seal)
Lineage: Eukaryota; Metazoa; Chordata; Mammalia; Carnivora; Phocidae
Exons: 3
Source: RefSeq, a predicted model, not a curated record